Molecule: non-coding RNA, 73 nt
Organism: Parelaphostrongylus tenuis
Lineage: Eukaryota; Metazoa; Nematoda; Chromadorea; Rhabditida; Metastrongylidae
Source: the annotation of a GenBank genome assembly
GCGUCUGUGGUGCAACGGUGUAGCACAUGCUCCCAGAAAGAGUAAGAUGUGGGUUCGAGUCCCGGCUCACGUA